GGAGGGAUGCCGGAGCUGGUCAAACGGCCCUGACUCGAAAUCAGUGGGCGGCGUAUGCCGCACGAGAGUUCGAAUCUCUCUCCCUCCGCCA
Molecule: transfer RNA, 91 nt
Filed under: Gammaproteobacteria bacterium
Lineage: Bacteria; Pseudomonadati; Pseudomonadota; Gammaproteobacteria
Description: tRNA-Ser
Rfam family: tRNA
About the family: Transfer RNA (tRNA) molecules are approximately 80 nucleotides in length. Their secondary structure includes four short double-helical elements and three loops (D, anti-codon, and T loops).
Source: RNAcentral